This 253-nucleotide ribosomal RNA is filed under the name uncultured bacterium. RNAcentral's name for it is "partial 16S ribosomal RNA". It matches the Rfam family "Bacterial small subunit ribosomal RNA", at positions 524 to 776 of the family's 1533-position model. The record is from RNAcentral.
UACGUAGGGAGCAAGCGUUGUCCGGAAUCAUUGGGCGUAAAGCGCGCGUAGGUGGCCUCAUAAGUCCGCUGUGAAAGUCAAAGGCUCAACCUUUGAAAGCCGGUGGAUACUGUGAGGCUAGAGUACGGAAGAGGCGAGUGGAAUUCCUGGUGUGGCGGUGGAAUGCGCAGAUAUCAGGAGGAACACCAAUAGCGAAGGCAGCUCGCUGGGACGUUACUGACACUGAGGCGCGAAAGCGUGGGGAGCGAACAGG